CAGCCGCCGCGGGAAUACGGAGGGGGCUAGCGUUGUUCGGAAUUACUGGGCGUAAAGCGCACGUAGGCGGCUUUGUAAGUCAGAGGUGAAAGCCUGGAGCUCAACUCCAGAAUUGCCUUUGAGACUGCAUCGCUUGAACGUCGGAGAGGUGAGUGGAAUUCCGAGUGUAGAGGUGAAAUUCGUAGAUAUUCGGAAGAACACCAGUGGCGAAGGCGGCUCACUGGACGACUGUUGACGCUGAGGUGCGAAAGCGUGGGGAGCAAACAGGAUUAGAUACCCCUGUAGUCCCUGUCUCUUAUAC
This 301-nucleotide ribosomal RNA is filed under the name uncultured bacterium. RNAcentral's name for it is "partial 16S ribosomal RNA". It matches the Rfam family "Bacterial small subunit ribosomal RNA", at positions 509 to 807 of the family's 1533-position model. The record is from RNAcentral.